CCUGGACUGUCCUUUUCUUUUAUGUUUGUAUCUUCUUCUGUACAAUGACACCCCUCAUCAUGACAGGGGCCUUGGAGUGCUACUUUGAAUCUGAUGGGUGGGGCAUCGUUGCCUCUAGUAGUGAUGACUGCGGCUCCUCUGCUGCCCGUGGCAGACGCAAGGCCAGAUGCAGGUUCCAGA
Non-coding RNA from Chelonoidis abingdonii (Abingdon island giant tortoise), 180 nucleotides. NCBI's taxonomy places the organism in Eukaryota, Metazoa, Chordata, Testudines, Testudinidae. The record is from RefSeq and is a predicted model, not a curated record.